ACGGAGGAUCCGAGCGUUAUCCGGAUUUAUUGGGUUUAAAGGGUGCGUAGGCGGGAGAUUAAGUCAGCGGUGAAAGUUUGCAGCUUAACUGUAAAAUUGCCGUUGAAACUGAUUUUCUUGAGUGUAAAUAAGGUAGGCGGAAUGUGUUGUGUAGCGGUGAAAUGCAUAGAUAUAACACAGAACCCCGAUUGCGAAGGCAGCUUACCGGGCUACAACUGACGCUGAGGCACGAAAGCGUGGGGAUCAAACAG
RNAcentral lists this ribosomal RNA (251 nucleotides) under uncultured prokaryote. Its description in RNAcentral is "partial 16S rRNA". It matches the Rfam family "Bacterial small subunit ribosomal RNA", at positions 525 to 775 of the family's 1533-position model. The record is from RNAcentral.